This 63-nucleotide transfer RNA is filed under the name Pyrops clavatus. Its description in RNAcentral is "tRNA-Leu". RNAcentral also lists the same sequence under 3 other names. The record is from RNAcentral. Lineage: Eukaryota; Metazoa; Arthropoda; Insecta; Hemiptera; Fulgoridae.
GCUAAUUUGGCAGAUUUAAGUGCUUUAGAUUUAGAAUUUAAUUAUGUAUUUUUACAGUUAGUA